GGCAAAAAUACACAAUUAUAACAAAAAAUGUGGACUCUGAUCAUUCUGUGUUACUGGGGAGUAAUGUGGUCACCAUUUCCUCCUCCUUCAGCCUUCAGAUAGACAAGGAUUACUCCAACUUAAUGUACUAGAUACCCCAAAGGCACCAGGUCUGGGGAAGUUAUUCUCACCCUUCCUGUAAUUUUCAGGGUCUUUUUCUUGUGUCUUUGCUUAUUAGCUUAGGACAGCCUUCAAGGAAGUUGUUUUGUUUCAUCUUCAUUUUUGCCAACAGUGCUGUUUGGAUUCUGAGGAGGAUAGAGAAAAGGCUCCCCCAAGAAGGAAAGGCAUGGGUUUGGGCACAAAAACAACAGCCGCAACAGCAGCAACAACAACUCAUCAGCUCAUGUCUUCUUGGCUUUUGAUACAAAGGCAACACAGAAAACUAUUCCUACCAGCUUCUUCUGUGUGGCAACAUUUUUUUCUAACCUUGUUUCUGCACCGAAGCUAUUGUCCACUGUUCGUCCCAGCUUUAUGCAAGAGUCUCCAAACCAGCUUCCUACUCUUCUUGGCCACAGGACCUGUGUCUCCAGCUGUACUGGUCCAUUCUAACACUGCUAUAAAGAACUACUUGAAACUAGGUAAUUUAUAA
RNAcentral lists this long non-coding RNA (628 nucleotides) under Macaca fascicularis (crab-eating macaque). Its description in RNAcentral is "lncRNA (ENSMFAG00000053696.1)". Lineage: Eukaryota; Metazoa; Chordata; Mammalia; Primates; Cercopithecidae. The record is from RNAcentral.